AAAAAACAAUUUCUCUGUGUUGGCUUCAAUUGGACCAACUUUCUUUCUUGCGUUUGCCAUGUUUGGGUUUGUGAUGCAAAUUGGAUCUUUGGUGGUAGAGAAGGAACUCAAACUUCGCCAGGCAAUGAGUAUGACAGGUCUUUAUGAAUCUGCUUAUUGGUUCUCUUGGAUCACAUGGGAAGGAAUACUUUCACUCGUAUCAUCACUUCUCCUUGUUCUUUUUGGAAUGAUGUUUCAGUUUGACAUGUUCAAGAAAAACAAUUUUGCAGUUGUGUUUCUUGUGUUCUAUCUUUUUCAGCUCAAUAUGGUUGGUUUUGCGUUUUUGUUGUCAAACUUCAUUAGCAAGUCAUCUUCAGCCACAACAGUCGGUUUCUCCGUAUUUAUUGUUGGCUUUUUU
Molecule: unclassified non-coding RNA, 397 nt
Filed under: Hevea brasiliensis (rubber tree)
Lineage: Eukaryota; Viridiplantae; Streptophyta; Magnoliopsida; Malpighiales; Euphorbiaceae
Source: RNAcentral